RNAcentral lists this transfer RNA (72 nucleotides) under Chitinophagaceae bacterium. Its description in RNAcentral is "tRNA-Thr". It matches the Rfam family "tRNA". From Rfam's summary of the family: Transfer RNA (tRNA) molecules are approximately 80 nucleotides in length. Lineage: Bacteria; Pseudomonadati; Bacteroidota; Chitinophagia; Chitinophagales; Chitinophagaceae. RNAcentral also lists the same sequence under 3 other names. The record is from RNAcentral.
GCCGUUGUAGCUCAGUGGUAGAGCACUUCCUUGGUAAGGAAGAGGUCAUGAGUUCAAUCCUCAUCAACGGCU